RNAcentral lists this ribosomal RNA (480 nucleotides) under Pseudomonas sp. 120426_NH_C_C2. RNAcentral's name for it is "bacterial SSU rRNA". It matches the Rfam family "Bacterial small subunit ribosomal RNA", at positions 271 to 744 of the family's 1533-position model. The record is from RNAcentral. Lineage: Bacteria; Pseudomonadati; Pseudomonadota; Gammaproteobacteria; Pseudomonadales; Pseudomonadaceae.
AGGCGACGAUCCGUAACUGUCUGAGAGGAUGAUCAGUCACACUGGAACUGAGACACGGUCCAGACUCCUACGGGAGGCAGCAGUGGGGAAUAUUGGACAAUGGGCGAAAGCCUGAUCCAGCCAUGCCGCGUGUGUGAAGAAGGUCUUCGGAUUGUAAAGCACUUUAAGUUGGGAGGAAGGGUUGCUGAUUAAUACUCUGCAAUUUUGACGUUACCGACAGAAUAAGCACCGGCUAACUCUGUGCCAGCAGCCGCGGUAAUACAGAGGGUGCAAGCGUUAAUCGGAAUUACUGGGCGUAAAGCGCGCGUAGGUGGUUUGUUAAGUUGGAUGUGAAAGCCCCGGGCUCAACCUGGGAACUGCAUCCAAAACUGGCAAGCUAGAGUAGGGCAGAGGGUGGUGGAAUUUCCUGUGUAGCGGUGAAAUGCGUAGAUAUAGGAAGGAACACCAGUGGCGAAGGCGACCACCUGGGCUCAUACUGAC